RNAcentral lists this long non-coding RNA (1048 nucleotides) under Castor canadensis (American beaver). Its description in RNAcentral is "lncRNA (ENSCCNG00000028700.1)". The record is from RNAcentral. Lineage: Eukaryota; Metazoa; Chordata; Mammalia; Rodentia; Castoridae.
CCGGGAAGCGGAGAGAAGCCGCCAAACCCGGGAGGCGCGACCCUCCCCUCGCACACCGGCCGGGGCGGGGGAGCUGCGGGAGUCUUCAUUAAAACCGCAACCCGGAGCCCGGCCCGCGGCGCGCACAGCCCGGCUGCAGGCGGCCUCCCGCGCACCGGGGCCCGCGCCGGCUCCAGCCGCCCGCGGCCGACCUCGCGCGUCCUCAAAGCCAGCCUGUCCCACUUCCCCCGCCGGUUGCUACAGCAACUGAGCUCUGAGUCGCUCCCAUCCUCUACCUCCACUUGGAGAGGUGAGGGGACUAAGAGAAAGUCAAGUCCCAGGCUGCUCUGGGGCUCACCAGCGGCCCUGACCUCCCCAUUCCCCAGAUGGUGCAACCGAGGGGAUGGUGGGGAGGCUGGACCGCAGUCUGUGGACUCAAGGCUUGGCCCUUCCCCCAGCUGUGACUAGGAGAUGACUGGAAGAAAAGACCUGGGUGCACUCAGCUCUCCCCGUGCCUGACCCUCCGCCUCAGUUCCUCAGGUUGUAAAGCAUGGGUCCCCAGGGCAUAGAACACCUGGUCAGCACCAGGUAUGGACUGGAAAUUCUUUUAGCAUAGCAGAAGCAGGGGGAGGAGGAUGUGAGGGCCAGAGCUGGAGAUGUGGGGAAGGGGCUGACAACAGAGGAAGCCUCUGUAGAAGGCUGGGGCAGCCAGGGGACUGGGGAUGGUAGGACCUGGCUUGGCCAAUUUCCAGCCAAACCUUUCCUAGUACCUCACUUCUACUCCAGUGCCUAGGAUGGGUGCCAGCACCAGGCCUAUCACUCACUGGCCCUGGGGACCCACCAGCCUGGUUUACCAGACAAGCCAGUCCCCAAGUCACAGCCGAGUCCACAGAGUGAAGGAGGGAAGACAGAUGGAGGAGGUGCCAUUUUAACCAGAGUCUGUGGCAGUUGAGGAAAGAGAGAAAGGUAUGUAGGACUGAGGGUCUGGGAACUUGCAUUGCUGCCACCCUUGCCCUUCAGUCCCCACCCCCUCCACCGGGUACCUCUCCUAAGCUCAGGUCCAAAAGGG